Molecule: long non-coding RNA, 203 nt
Filed under: Elaeis guineensis (African oil palm)
Lineage: Eukaryota; Viridiplantae; Streptophyta; Magnoliopsida; Arecales; Arecaceae
Description: long non-coding RNA (EGUI_LNC025414)
Source: RNAcentral
AUACAUGAAAGAAAAGGAUUAUGGCAAACACUAAAAAUAAAAGUAAAAGAAGUGAUGAAAAUCAGUUAUGAAAUAUAGAUUGGCAGAUUUGAGAUAAAUAAGAUACAUCAACCAAUGAAUAAAAGAUAAAUUUUGAUUAUUUUAUUAGCCAUGCAUUUUGUAAGAAAAAAAAUUUUAUUUUUCUACCAUUUCUCCACCAUCCU